This 283-nucleotide long non-coding RNA is filed under the name Gadus morhua (Atlantic cod). RNAcentral's name for it is "lncRNA (ENSGMOG00000030528.1)". The record is from RNAcentral. Lineage: Eukaryota; Metazoa; Chordata; Actinopteri; Gadiformes; Gadidae.
CAAGGAGAUGACCAACCUGGUAAGAAGGUGGCUUGGAAGAUUUCUCCCCGCUCACCUUAUCGCUGAUGUCCCACUGAAGGACAUCAGUUUCAAGGACACAAGCCUCCAGUUGGAAAACGAUGACCUCUGUCUUGGAGAGGAAGCACAAAUGUUCUUGGAGGACAACAUUGAUGAGCUUUCCUCUUCAGUCCCAGAGCUUCUUAAGGCAGUGAGAGACUUCUUUGUAGCUGUUACCACCAAGAUGAUGUCAGCAUUUCCCCUGGACAACAUCAUGCUCCAGAAC